RNAcentral lists this ribosomal RNA (433 nucleotides) under uncultured bacterium. RNAcentral describes it as "partial 16S ribosomal RNA". It matches the Rfam family "Bacterial small subunit ribosomal RNA", at positions 29 to 507 of the family's 1533-position model. The record is from RNAcentral.
AACGAACGCUGGCGGCAGGCCUAACACAUGCAAGUCGAGCGAGGACUUCGGUUCUAGCGGCGGACGGGUGAGUAACGCGUGGGAAUGUGCCCUUCUCUACGGAAUAGCCCUGGGAAACUGGGAGUAAUACCGUAUACGCCCUAUUGGGGAAAGAUUUAUCGGAGAAGGAUCAGCCCGCGUUGGAUUAGGUAGUUGGUGGGGUAAUGGCCUACCAAGCCGACGAUCCAUAGCUGGUUUGAGAGGAUGAUCAGCCACACUGGGACUGAGACACGGCCCAGACUCCUACGGGAGGCAGCAGUGGGGAAUCUUAGAAAAUGGGGGCAACCCUGAUCUAGCCAUGCCGCGUGAGUGAUGAAGGCCUUAGGGUUGUAAAGCUCUUUCAGCUGGGAAGAUAAUGACGGUACCAGCAGAAGAAGCCCCGGCUAACUCCGUG